UAACACAUGCAAGUCGAACGGACAAUUAUUUAUAGCCUCUGGCUAUAGGAAAUUGUUAGUGGCAGACGGGUGAGUAAUGCGUAGGAAUCUACCUAGUAGUACGGAAUAGCCAUUAGAAAUGGUGGGUAAUACUGUAUAAUCCCCGAGGGGGAAAGAUUUAUCGCUAUUAGAUGAGCCUACGUUAGAUUAGCUAGUUGGUGAGGUAAUGGCUUACCAAGGCUAUGAUCUAUAGCUGGUCUGAGAGGACGAUCAGCCACACUGGAACUGAGAUACGGUCCAGACUCCUACGGGAGGCAGCAGUGGGGAAUAUUGGACAAUGGGCGAAAGCCUGAUCCAGCUAUGCCGCGUGAGUGAAGAAGGCCUUCGGGUUGUAAAACUCUUUCAAUAGGGAAGAUAAUGAUCGGUACCUAUAGAAGAAGCUCCCGGCAAACUCUGUGC
RNAcentral lists this ribosomal RNA (438 nucleotides) under Ehrlichia canis. RNAcentral describes it as "bacterial SSU rRNA". It matches the Rfam family "Bacterial small subunit ribosomal RNA", at positions 49 to 508 of the family's 1533-position model. Lineage: Bacteria; Pseudomonadati; Pseudomonadota; Alphaproteobacteria; Rickettsiales; Anaplasmataceae. The record is from RNAcentral.